RNAcentral lists this long non-coding RNA (2849 nucleotides) under Helianthus annuus (common sunflower). Its description in RNAcentral is "hypothetical non coding rna". Lineage: Eukaryota; Viridiplantae; Streptophyta; Magnoliopsida; Asterales; Asteraceae. The record is from RNAcentral.
AAAAUAAGUCAGUAUUUUUGUGGGUUGGGGCGUGCGAUCGAGAACAGAGGCCAAGGAAGAGCCAAAACCCUAACAUCCUAAAAUCAACAAAUUGAGAAGGAAAUUAAAGGCUAAUCGAUUGCAUGUGAUCAAUUUCUCAGUUAUCUAACGGUUCUCCAUCAUGGGGAGUUAUGUCAAUAGGGGCACAUAUAUUGGAAGCGCCACGGGUCGAAGGUAAACACGGAAGCUAUGUGUAAAUUCGGACGCACGAGGUAAGUAAACUCCCCGACCCCUCCUUAGUCGUUAAGAGAUUAAUUGUAUGAUAAGUGUUAGAAACUAUGUGAGAUGUUUUAUUGUCAUUGGUAACAAGUAUGGAACACUAAGGAAGUGAUUUCCGAAUCACUUCCUAGACCAUUUUAGGAAGGUUAUAUGUGAGUCACGUAAGUAUGAGUCACGUUAGUAUAGUAAUCUAAGUCUAUUUAGGAUUUGGUUAUUGUUUGAUGGUGUUUAUUAAGAAGACCGAACGGGUUAAAAUAAGGGUAUGUUCCAUUGCGAAACGUUUGUACACAUAAUGACGAAGAUAAUAUUUUAUUCGGUUAAUGUAAUAGUGUUACAGUAUUAAUGUUAUGCAAGUUUUGAGUGUACUCAUGUGAGAUCCUUGUCAAGGUCAUGAAUGGGUCGAAUAAUUAUGCAUAAGUAGAGUAUAGUUAAAGAAAUAUAGAUGGGUUUGAGACCCGGGGCAGGGACUUUUAGUUAGUUAUGUGAGGAAUAACUUUACGAACAAUUAGGAUUAAGUAUCAAGUGAUUCGGAUGUAAAACAGACGAGUUAAGGGAGUUUUAAGCACAAAACAGGAUGUACAUCUGGGCACCACCGUAGCUUACGUGUAACACCCCGAAAACGGGUUUGGUAAUCAAACCUCGUUAAUAGUAAAAACGGGUAAAAUACCGUUAGUGGUAAAAUUAACCCGUUGAAUAUUAUGACUUAAAUAAGAAAAAAAAAUGUGUAAUAUUUAUUAAAAGGAUGGGAAAUAGGGUUAAACUAACAAAACCUUAUGUUAAGCAAAAGUGAGGGGCUAUUAUUGUCAAAAACUAAACUUAAAUUACAAGUUUAGUAAAAACAAAAGCCAAACACCCCAAAACUACUCCCUGGUCGACCAGAGAAGAACCCAGGGGCGACACCCACCUUCCAAACCCUAGAUUUCACCUAAAGCUCACAAAUUGAAGCCCUUAAUCUGCUCUAAAUCAAGUUUCAAACACGGAUUAGUGAUCACCUCGUUGCGGGGAUCAAAAGGUAUGUAAAAUUUUGGUAUUUUGAUUCAUGUUCAGUUUUAGGUUAAUUGAGAAAAUCAAAAAUUGAGCAUGCAUGAUUGUUGUAUUGGUGAAAUUUGAAGCAAACUGAUGUUUAGAGACAAACCCUAGACGCAAACUUUUAGAAUUUUGCCACAAACUAGUGAUUAGCCAAUUACCCAAGUAUGAGCCAAGUGGGUUUUGCAUAUUAUGAUGAACACUUGAAUUAGAGUGUUAAAUUGAUGAAUAUUUGAUGUUAUGAUCCUAGUACUAGGUGUAAUUCAUGAACACUAGACUUGGAGGGUUGAUUUUGAUGUAAAUCUUGGUGAAAAUAACUAGUUAUGAACUAGUUAGUAAAUAUGUAAAACUAUGCACUUUAGGUGUUUGAUAAAAUGCCAAGGAGAAAGCCAAAUGUUGAAAUUUAGAACGAAACGCUUAUUUGAAUAGUAUGGCUAGUUAAAUGAAAUACGAAACAAGAAGAGUUCUAAUAAUCAUGUUGAUUUAGACUUAAUGUUGUAAACCAUGUGAUUGAAAGUAGUUAACCUUGAUAAACUAAGUUAACUAAUCAUGAAGUCGAAUAAUAGCUUCGACAUAGGAAAUUAAGUGAGGUGGAAAAGUCGUGAUUUUUAAAUGACUAACUUAACCGCCUUGCAAAUGAUGACAAUAGUUUGACGCUUGACAAGCUAGGUGGGAGCUUGUGGAUGAAGCGGGUCAAACGGAUCAAGAACGGAAGGAAAAGCAUGGCAUGGAUGCGAGGUAAGUAAAGCUUACACCCAUUUGUAGUAAACGUAUGUAUUUUAUAGAUGAUAAAUGUGACAACCGAUUACCUUCGAAAUUGAAGUUCCAACACUAAGCGAUAUGAGUCGGAACGAAUAAAAAUGAUCAAAACCAUGGUUAAUGGUAAAAUGGACAAAAGGGUAAUUUAGUCGUGAAUCGACUAAGAAUUUAUAAGAUUUCCUUAAGGUUACCUUAUAGCGAAACUAGAAAAAAAAGGGUAAAUUAGUCACAUGUUGACUAUAUGUAAGUUGGGAUUAAAAGAAUACUCGUGGUAUAAGCCAUAACGAGUUAAAUACGUAAGAAGAAUGAUUUUGUGGUUAAAACUUGAAAUGGGUCGGAUGUGUGAAUGGGAUAUCAAAAACCAUGUUUUGACAUAAGUAUAAAUGUUUGGUCAUAAAUACCAAAUGGGUCAAAUGGUGGUGAUGACACCAUUUGACAAUAUCGACUAAUGUUUGGUUGUUAAGUCAAAUGUUCACAGAAGUGAACGGGAAGUGGAUUUUUGCGUCGCUAUAAAGUAGCGGCUAAUAAAAGAAAGAUACAAAACGGGUCUAUAUGUUGACUCGAGCCAGGUGAAUGCCAAGAGUGCCCGGAUGAAGAUCAAGCUCGAAGGGGAACCGAACACAAUAAAAUCUAACACUCGGGAUUAAAGCUUCCGCACGGCGUUACGUCAUAUCUUUUAAACGGCGAACUUAUUUAUAUUACGUUGAAAGCUUUUAAGUUGUAAAAGUUUUUAGAUUACUCGCAUUUUCUAAGAAUACUUAAUCGUAACUUCAUGUUUAUUUUCGUUAAUUAUACGAAAACCUUUC